Molecule: small RNA, 154 nt
Filed under: Elusimicrobium minutum
Lineage: Bacteria; Pseudomonadati; Elusimicrobiota; Elusimicrobia; Elusimicrobiales; Elusimicrobiaceae
Also listed under: 1 other name
Description: Magnesium sequence
Rfam family: M-box riboswitch aptamer (ykoK leader)
About the family: M-box riboswitch, also know as ykoK leader is described as a metaloregulatory RNA that sense divalent metals and function as a genetic control element of genes related to divalent metal transport in bacteria. It was first reported upstream of the B.subtilis ykoK gene and genes with related functions in other bacteria.
Source: RNAcentral
AAGGAACUUCGGUAGGUGAGGCUCCUAGGGAUACGGAUUGAUACCGCAAAGCAAUGGAGACAUUGCGAGAAGGUUAUCAGACUAUGUCGAAACCAAGGCAUAAUCUAACUCAAUUUCACUGCCCUAUAAAGCUAAAACUUGAACGGUGUCGGGU